CAAUAGCGUAUAUUAAAGUUGUUGCGGUUAAAAAGCUCGUAGUUGGAUUUCUGCCGAGGACGACCGGUCCGCCCUCUGGGUGUGUAUCUGGUUUGGCCUGGGCAUCUUCUUGGAGAACGUAGCUGCACUUGACUGUGUGGUGCGGUGUCCAGGACUUUUACUUUGAGGAAAUUAGAGUGUUCACGGCAGGCAAACGCCUUGAAUACAUUAGCAUGGAAUAAUAACAUAGGGCCUUGGUUCUAUUUUGUUGGUUUCUAGAGCUGAGGCAAUGAUUAAUAGGGAUAAUUGGGGGCAUUCGUACUAACGCGUCAGAGGUGGAAUUCUUGGAUUGCGUUAUGACGAACUACUGCGAAAGCAUUUGCCAAGGAUGUUUUCAUUGA
RNAcentral lists this ribosomal RNA (380 nucleotides) under uncultured eukaryote. RNAcentral describes it as "partial 18S ribosomal RNA". It matches the Rfam family "Eukaryotic small subunit ribosomal RNA", at positions 592 to 976 of the family's 1831-position model. The record is from RNAcentral.